GAUGAAGAACGUAGCGAAAUGCGAUAAGUAAUGUGAAUUGCAGAAUUCAGUGAAUCAUCGAAUCUUUGAACGCACAUUGCGCCCGCCAGUAUUCUGGCGGGCAUGCCUGUUCGAGCGUCAUUUCAACCAUCAAGCCCCCGGCUUGUGUUGGGGACCUGCGGCUGCCGCAGGCCCUGAAAAGCAGUGGCGGGCUCGCUGUCACACCGAGCGUAGUAGCAUACAUCUCGCUCUGGGCGUGCUGCGGGUUCCGGCCGUUAAACCACCUUCAUAACCCAAGGUUGACCUCGGAUCAGGUAGGAAGACCCGCUGAACUUAAGCAUAUCAAUAAGCCGGAGGA
This 337-nucleotide unclassified non-coding RNA is filed under the name soil metagenome. RNAcentral's name for it is "partial contains 5.8S ribosomal RNA, internal transcribed spacer 2, and large subunit ribosomal RNA". The stretch from base 1 to 120 matches the Rfam family "5.8S ribosomal RNA", at positions 35 to 154 of the family's 154-position model. The record is from RNAcentral.